UAUAGCACAAUGGGCGCAAGCCUGAUGCAGCCAUGCCGCGUGUAUGAAGAAGGCCUUCGGGUUGUAAAGUACUUUCAGCGGGGAGGAAGGCGAUGUGGUUAAUAACCGAAUUGAUUGACGUUACCCGCAGAAGAAGCACCGGCUAACUCCGUGCCGGCAGCCGCGGUAAUACGGAGGGUGCAAGCGUUAAUCGGAAUUACUGGGCGUAAAGCGCACGCAGGCGGUCUGUUAAGUCAGAUGUGAAAUCCCCGGGCUUAACCUGGGAACUGCAUUUGAAACUGGCAGGCUUGAGUCUCGUAGAGGGGGGUAGAAUUCCAGGUGUAGCGGUGAAAUGCGUAGAGAUCUGGAGGAAUACCGGUGGCGAAGGCGGCCCCCUGGACGAAGUCUGACGCUCAGGUGCGAGAGCGUGGGGAGCAAACAG
This 421-nucleotide ribosomal RNA is filed under the name uncultured bacterium. RNAcentral's name for it is "bacterial SSU rRNA". It matches the Rfam family "Bacterial small subunit ribosomal RNA", at positions 362 to 775 of the family's 1533-position model. The record is from RNAcentral.